CGUUAAGGACCUUUGUGGCCUCCUUGAAAAAUGUCUGUUACCCAGUCUUCAGAGUGAUUAGGAAAGCUAUCAGUCAUGAUUAAGAUUUCCUCUUCACAGGUGGAAGAACGGUCCGGGGAACUACGAACCCAGGGUUAUCAAGGCUUACGGGGCUGAAAGCCCAGAAUGACUCAGUGCUACAUGUUUUAAGGGAACCAAUAAAGAUCAUUAUUGUUACUCAGCAAUGACAUUCCUGCCACACAAUGCAGGCUCUCUACAUUUCUAUUUACAAUCUUCAUGUUAAGCCCCAAGUAAUAUUUAGAUUGUUGUGUAAAACCCUAAAUUCUGCUCCAAAAGAAGAUUGUGCCAAACCCAUCUAUCUGAGUCCUUCCCACUGAACUCCUCAUCUUCUUACCCAGAGGUAGCCUUUCAAUCAAUUCCUCCAGAAAUCCUACUAAACAAAGAACAGCUGACUGCAUUUGAAUGCUCAAGACCUAAAUUGAAUGGGGAAGGAAAGGGUUACACAAAAAAACACACCAGCCAACUGGCUUCAACUCACUUGAAAUAUGAGAGAUUCUAAAAGGCACCUUUCAUGAAUAAGGUUGGAAAAGGACUCUACUCAGUUAAAUUCUUUGAACACUCAUGACAAAAGCCUACCCUAUAUCCAGGAGAAGUUGAGUAUAAAUGGGGAGAGACUGCACUGAAAAAAUUGAAAAGUAAAUUAUUACAUGCAAAGCAUGUACCUUUGCAUGAAAACAGAAUUUUAUGACUGUACCAUCUCUGUCUAUUAGCCAAUAAAGUUUUAAAUGAUA
RNAcentral lists this long non-coding RNA (791 nucleotides) under Pongo abelii (Sumatran orangutan). RNAcentral describes it as "lincRNA". Lineage: Eukaryota; Metazoa; Chordata; Mammalia; Primates; Hominidae. The record is from RNAcentral.